GACGAACGCUGGCGGCGUGCUUAACACAUGCAAGUCGAGCGGAAAGGCCCUGCUUUUGUGGGGUGCUCGAGUGGCGAACGGGUGAGUAACACGUGAGUAACCUGCCCUUGACUUUGGGAUAACUUCAGGAAACUGGGGCUAAUACCGGAUAGGAGCUCCUGCUGCAUGGUGGGGGUUGGAAAGUUUCGGCGGUUGGGGAUGGACUCGCGGCUUAUCAGCUUGUUGGUGUGGUAGUGGCUUACCAAGGCUUUGACGGGUAGCCGGCCUGAGAGGGUGACCGGCCACAUUGGGACUGAGAUACGGCCCAGACUCCUACGGGAGGCAGCAGUGGGGAAUAUUGCACAAUGGGCGGAAGCCUGAUGCAGCAACGCCGCGUGCGGGAUGACGGCCUUCGGGUUGUAAACCGCUUUCGCCUGUGACGAAGCGUGAGUGACGGUAAUGGGUAAAGAAGCACCGGCUAACUACGUG
RNAcentral lists this ribosomal RNA (468 nucleotides) under uncultured bacterium. RNAcentral describes it as "partial 16S ribosomal RNA". It matches the Rfam family "Bacterial small subunit ribosomal RNA", at positions 28 to 507 of the family's 1533-position model. The record is from RNAcentral.